UCUCCGUAGGUGAACCUGCGGAGGGAUCAUUACUGAGUGAGGGCUCCGGCCCGACCUCCAACCCCAUGUGAACCGAAACCUGUUGCUUCGGGGGCGACCCUGCCGUUCGCGGCGUGGGGCCCCCGGAGCCCAUCAAACCCUGCGUAACUAAGUCGUCGGAGUUUAAACAAAUUAAACAAAACUUUCAACAAUGGAUCUCUUGGUUCUGGCAUCGAUGAAGAACGCCAGC
RNAcentral lists this unclassified non-coding RNA (229 nucleotides) under uncultured fungus. Its description in RNAcentral is "sequence contains ITS1, 5.8S rRNA gene". The stretch from base 180 to 229 matches the Rfam family "5.8S ribosomal RNA", at positions 1 to 49 of the family's 154-position model. The record is from RNAcentral. Lineage: Eukaryota; Fungi.